RNAcentral lists this ribosomal RNA (253 nucleotides) under uncultured bacterium. RNAcentral describes it as "partial 16S ribosomal RNA". It matches the Rfam family "Bacterial small subunit ribosomal RNA", at positions 524 to 776 of the family's 1533-position model. The record is from RNAcentral.
UACGUAGGGGGCAAGCGUUGUCCGGAUUUAUUGGGCGUAAAGAGCGUGUAGGCGGCCUGACAGGUCUGCUGUGAAAACUCGAGGCUCAACCUCGAGAUGUCGGCGGAAACCGUCUGGCUAGAGUCCGGAAGAGGAGAGUGGAAUUCCUGGUGUAGCGGUGAAAUGCGCAGAUAUCAGGAGGAACACCAAUGGCGAAGGCAGCUCGCUGGGACGUGACUGACGCUGAGACGCGAAAGCGUGGGGAGCAAACAGG